RNAcentral lists this long non-coding RNA (5332 nucleotides) under Haliotis rufescens (red abalone). RNAcentral describes it as "uncharacterized LOC124144853". The record is from RNAcentral. Lineage: Eukaryota; Metazoa; Mollusca; Gastropoda; Lepetellida; Haliotidae.
CUGUAAAUAACUGAUAGAAUUUCAACAAGACCUACAUGGGGUGUUCAGUAUCAGGUUAAAAAUCAGACAAGCGCUGGGCCCUCAAUAAGAAAGAUGGCACCCCUUGAUAUACUCGAUCCCAAAAGAAACUCACAACUAAAGUAUGGACACGAUCGCUAGAGAUGUGUUAUUGAUGCAUCAUGUGUGCUGACACAGGUCUGUGUGGGUUCCAUCUGUCUGUCUGGCAGUAGUGAACGCUGGUAGGUGGCGUUCACGCAAGUGAGAUGGGAGAUAACUCAUGUUUGACCUAACGACCUUACACAUGGGUGUCCACAACUCGGGCUAUCCUGCACACUUUUUGUCAAUAAGACUGUAGAUCUCAGGGGGUCGAAUCAUGAACUGCAGAUUCUGUGGCUUAUUACCGUAUAUGACCGUAGAUAAGAUGAAUUUUUGAGGUCCAGAAUAAAGAUUCUAUACAAUGGGUACGGCUUAUGUACAGGAUACACUUUCGUGAAAGUAUUUUUCAGAUCCUGAUCUGUCAGAACAUCGUCUGAAGGACAGAAUGGUACAAGUAGAUUACAACUUCUUGAAACUUUGAAAGUUUGACUACAACCAUUAUUGUUAUAGAUGAUCAAUAAAAUUAUUAUCAUACACAAAUGUUGACAUUAUUAAAUAAUUUUAUGCAUGUAACUAUUUUCAAUAAUAAGUUCAAGGUUUAUCACUGUUCAUAAACUCCAUGAUCAUAUAAUUACAACAUUUUUCAUCGUACAUUCAUGAAUACCUGCAAGUAGUCUUACCGUCCAACUUCGUGAUGUGUUGUUGCCUAUCACACCCUGGUCUGACUCAUGUACGGGACAUAUGAUGUACAUGUACCUCAGCCUCAUCUAUGAGAUUGACUUAUCUAUGGGCAUAUACGGUACUGUAGUGAUUAGCAAGCUGAAGUAUUUUCCAAACUGCAUCGUGCACGAUAUAUGUCAACAGGGACAGGUCAUGUAUUGUGAGGUUGACUGGCCAGAGAGAAUAAUGAGGGUCAACAAAAGCAUGACAAGUUUUGUAGAGAGUCUUAAUAAACUGUACUUUUAAAGGGAAGAGAUUGUAUUACAAACUGAAAUGUCCAAAUAUUUGUUUUAUUAAAAUGGUGAUUAGAAUUUGGUAGGAUCAAACCUUCAAUUAGCAAUGGUUGUAUUUGUUGGAAUAAAUAACCAAGGGCCAAUUUCACACAGUAAUCACACAACAUUAUCCCUUUAAGAGACUUAUGGUAAUCGAAGCAUCAUGAUGGGUGUGGGAAACGUCCCAUACUGAUAAACUUUGAUGUUUACAAUUUUGUUUCUUGUACAUAUAUAUAGAGAGAAUGGUGCUCAUGUUAAUUAUUAAACCUUGUUUAAAUUUGAAAGACUUUUACCUUGUUGUUGUACUUCAUAAUUAUUCAAAUAUUUCUAUAAUUUUGAAAUAUAAUUAUCAGAUAUUUCAUUAUUAAUGAUUCAUAUGUAUAUGCAUAACAUGUCCAUUUGCUUGUGAUAUCAUGUACCUUUGUCAUAAUUAUGCUCGUGCAUUCAUUAUGAAAUAUACCUUUGUCAAAAUUAUGCUCGUGCGUUUAUUAUGAAAUGUACCUUUGUCAUAAUUAUGCUCGUGCGUUCAUUAUGAAAUGUACCUUUGUCAUAAUUAUGCUCGUGCAAUUAUUAUGAAAUGUACCUUUGUCAUAAUUAUGCUCAUGCGUUUAUUAUGAAAUGUACCUUUGUCAUAAUUAUGCUCGUGCGAUCAUUAUGCCAUGUACCUUUGCCAUGAUUAUGCUUGUGCGUUCAUUAUGCAACAUACAUUAACAAUGACUAUGCUGGUGCGUUGAUUAUGCCAGCAUGUGCUACUUGCAUUACCUUGUUUAGACACUGUUCUGCUACCAGGAAUGUGAAAUACAUGCUUAGAGGAGCAAGGGUGUGAGAGAGAGAGUGAUUUGUGAAAGCCGUUUUUGACAGUAUUUUCGUUACAGCUUGUCAACCUGACCGUGUUACCGUGUGAGGCAAGGCCAAUGUGACACAGGUUGUAGACAUGAGCCCUGGUAUGGUGCUAACAAACUAAGGAUGAUAAUCAGGCUGAAUCUUGGAUUCAAACUCAUGACCAACACAUCCCAGCCAUUAAGGGAGACAACUCUGCACAACCACAGAUACGUGUUCCUCAUGUAGAAAGGUGGUAAGGGCGAGGAAUUGCCACGUGAUCCAAACUCACCCAGUAAUAAGAUGAACAUGGUGUGCUUCAUAUAUAAAAGGGUUAUACAUAUAUUUCCAGAAAGAAGUUACCAAUCUCAGCCGUAGUCGUAGAACAUAACCAAAUUCAAGAUGAAUGGUAUUGACUUCAAAUAUUAAUAUGUAUUUGUACUGUGUACCAGCUGAAUUGACAAGUGUUAUUUAUUCAUCUGAAGACAUGCAUGCAUUCUGAAACAAUUUCACAUCACGUGUCCACAUUUGAGUGGCUACAAGAAAAUUGACUUUUCAUUGUUUUUGCCCAAGAGGGAGAAGAGAGCGUUUGAUGCACUUUUAGUGCUGCUAUCCCUUUGAUAAAAAAAAUCCUAGAAAGUCUGUGUAUUGAAGAAUAAAAAGCAGUGUCUUAAGUUCAACUAACAGUGACAGUGUUACUGUUAUAUGAAUCUCUCUGAAACGACAGUACUCCCACGAUUCUUCUGAUUCUUUACUUUCUGUUUCGUGUAACCAUGGUAACAGUAUUGGAUCCUAUCUUGUGUCCUCUGUUGGGAUUCCCAGGCAGAAUUAGCCAGUACUCUUUAUAAGAGGUGACUAAAGUGAGCUGUAGGUUGUCAUAUCCUGACUGCAUGGAUCGUUGUUCAUGUUGUCAACCACCUGUUUGCCAAACCCAGAUUUGAUUAUUUACAGAUCACUAUGAAAUGACUGUUAAUUGUUUUCUGUAGCAUAUAACAUUCACACACUAAUCCUCUCAUGUGUAACCAUGGUAAUAUGACUGGAUCCUGUCUCAUGGGUAAACAUAGUAACAUGACUGGAUCCAACAUAGGUGUAACCAUGGCAACAUGAUUGGAUCCCACCUCAUUUGUAAUCAGGAAUGUCCAGACAUAGCCCAUCCUCUUUAUUCCUUUACAUUUUAACAAAUCCUGAAGUUUUAUAUCUGCAUGUCAUCUCAUCAUACUUGAUCCCCCAUCAAGUUGGAUUCAUUAUGUUAAUAUUACCCAGUGUGCAGCGAUUUCCUCUGUACUGUCAACUAUCCGUGAACAUGUUCAGGUUGUCUCCGCAGGUGAACAUGUGUUCAGUGUGUGAGUCUCUGCAGGUGAACAUGUGUUCAGUGUGAGUCUCUGCAGGUGAACAUGUGUUCAGUGUGUGUUGGCAGGUGAACAUGUGUUCAGUGUGUGAGUCUCUGCAUGUAGAAGUUGUGUUCAGUGUGUGAGUCCCUGCAGGUAGAACGUGUGUUCAAUGUGUGUCGGCAGGUGAACAUGUGUUGAAAAUGUGAGUCUCUGCAGGUGAACAUGUGUUCAGGUUGUCUCUGCAGGUGAAUAUGUGUUCAGCGUGUGAGUCUCUGCAGGUGAACAUGUGUUCAGUGUGUGAGUCUCUGCAGGUGAACAUGUGUUCAGUGUGUGAGUCUCUGCAGGUAGAACAUAUGUUCAGUGUGUGAGUCUCUGCAGGUAGAACAUGUGUUCAGCGUGUGAGUCUCUGCAGGUAGAACAUGUGUUCAGUGUGUGAGUCUCUGCAGGUAGAACAUGUGUUCAGUGUGAGUCUCUGCAGGUAGAACAUGUGUUCAGUGUGUGAGUCUCUGCAGGUAGAACAUGUGUUCAGUGUGUGAGUCUCUGCAGGUGAACAUGUGUUCAGUGUGAAGUCUCUGCAGGUAGAACAUGUGUUCAGUGUGGGAGUCUCUGCAGGUGAAAGUGUGUUCAGUGUGGGAGUCUCUGCAGGUGAAAGUGUGUUCAGUAGGAGGCUCUGCAGGUAGAACAUGUGUUCAGUAGGAGACUCUGCAGGUAGAACAUGUGUUCAGUGUGUGUCGGCAGGUGAACAUGUGUUCAGUGUGUGAGUCUCUGCAGGUAGAACAUGUGUUCAGUGUGUGAGUCUCUGCAGGUAGAACAUGUGUUCAGUGUGAGUCUCUGCAGGUAGAACAUGUGUUCAGUGGAGUCUCUGCAGGUGAACAUGUGUUCAGUGUGUGAGUCUCUGCAGGUGAACAUGUGUUCAGUGUGUGAGUCUCUGCAGGUAGAACAUAUGUUCAGUGUGUGAGUCUCUGCAGGUAGAACAUGUGUUCAGCGUGUGAGUCUCUGCAGGUAGAACAUGUGUUCAGUGUGUGAGUCUCUGCAGGUAGAACAUGUGUUCAGUGUGAGUCUCUGCAGGUAGAACAUGUGUUCAGUGUGUGAGUCUCUGCAGGUAGAACAUGUGUUCAGUGUGUGAGUCUCUGCAGGUGAACAUGUGUUCAGUGUGGAGUCUCUGCAGGUAGAACAUGUGUUCAGUGUGUGAGUCUCUGCAGGUAGAACAUGUGUUCAGUGUGAGUCUCUGCAGGUAGAACAUGUGUUCAGUGGAGUCUCUGCAGGUGAACAUGUGUUCAGUGUGGGACUCUCUGCAGGUGAACAUGUGUUCAGUAGGAGACUCUGCAGGUAGAACAUGUGUUCAGUGGAGUCUCUGCAGGUGAACAUGUGUUCAGUGUGGGAGUCUCUGCAAGUGAACAUGUGUUCAGUUGGAGACUCUGCAGGUAGAACAUGUGUUCAGUGUGUGAGUCUCUGCAGGUAGAACAUGUGUUCAGUGUGUGUCGGCAGGUAAACGUGUUCAGUGUGUGAGUCUCUGCAGGUAGAACAUGUGUUCAGUGGAGUCUCUGCAGGUGAACAUGUGUUCAGUGUGUGAGUCUCUGCAGGUGAACAUGUGUUCAGUGUGUGUCGGCAGGUAAACGUGUUCAGUGUGUGAGUCUCUGCAGGUAGAACAUGUGUUCAGUGGAGUCUCUGCAGGUGAACAUGUGUUCAGUGUGGGACUCUCUGCAGGUGAACAUGUGUUCAGUAGGAGACUCUGCAGGUAGAACAUGUGUUCAGUGGAGUCUCUGCAGGUGAACAUGUGUUCAGUGUGGGAGUCUCUGCAAGUGAACAUGUGUUCAGUUGGAGACUCUGCAGGUAGAACAUGUGUUCAGUGGAGUUUCUGCAGGUAGAACAUGUGUUCAGUGGAGUCUCUGCAGGUGUUGUGUGUGAUUCUAGGUAAUACAUUCUUCAAUCUGUUGAUCAGCCCAGGUAGGAUUCUACUUGUGUGUAUUGUGAUGCAACAUGAAACAUUUCAGUCUGUCUCUAUUUGACAUCUUGCAUAUCUAUCAGCUGUUCAUUUGCAAAGAGAAAUUUGCAAAAGGUGUGAUGACAAUUUUAGUAAAAUGUUCCAGAUUA